UUCCGUAGGUGAACCUGCGAAGAUCAUUAAUAAAUGUCUAGUUUUAAGUAGACACUUAAUAAUCCUACCCUUUGUGAAUUGUUGUUUUGAAAUAAUUUUUUUUAAAAUAUUGGUUGUCUUUCCCUGUUGAAUAGAAUGUUUCGAACAUGAAUACGCAGGGAGUGUCAGUAAUUUUUAAAAGACCUUUUUAAAUUAAACUUUUGUAUUCAUUUGUCUAAAAUUAUUUUAUAAUAUAAAAACAACUUUUGACAAUGGAUCUCUUGGUUCUCGCAACGAUGAAGAACGCAGCAAAUGCGAUAAGUAGUGUGAAUUGCAGAAUACGUGAAUCAUCGAAUCUUCGAACGCAUAUUGCACUUUUUUAGUUUUACUUAAAAAGAGUAUGUCUGUUUGAGUAUCAGUAAAAUAUUCUCAUAAAAACUAUUGUUUUUAUGGUUAUGAGUGUUUACAACGAUACAAGUUGUUUCACUUUAAAUUUUUUUAAAUUUGAAUUUUCUAAUUUUAAAAUAAAAUUGGAUAAAAUUUUCCCGUAAAAAGGAAUAACUAAACAAUUUAGUUUUUUGAUUAGAAUUUUCAUUAUAAGGAAAAUUUAAUAAAGAACUUGAUCUCAAAUCAGAUAAGAGUACCGCUGAACAUAAGCAUAUCAAUAAGCGGAGGAAAAGAACUAACAAGGAUUCCUUAGUAACGGCGAGUGAAGCGGAAAGCUCAAAUUGAAAUCUUCAAGGUUUUACCUUGACGAAUUGUAGUUUAAAGAAGUGUUUUCUGUUGAAGUUUGGUAAAAGUUCUUGGAAUAGGACAUCAUAGAGGGUGAGAAUCCGUAUUUGACCAUUAUUUUCAGCUGUGUGAUACACUUUCAAAGAGUCGGAUUGUUUGGGAAUGCAGUCCAAAAUGGUGGUAAAUUCAUCUAAAGCUAAAUAUUGGCGAGAGACCGAUAGCGAACAAGUACGUGAGGGAAAGAUGAAAAGAACUCUGAAAGAGAGUUAAACAGUACGUGAAUUGUCAAAAGGGAAGCGUUUGACACCAGUGUUGUUUUCUCGAAAUCAAUUAAAAAGAGUUGGAUUUUGUGUUGUAUGACUUAAAGCUUGCUUCACUCUUUUCCUGCUUUUUUAAUGCACUUUUCGUUUAACAAGUCAACAUCAGUUCUUUUGUUGUAAAAGGUCAUUGGAAGUGGCUUUCUCUUCGGAGAAAGUGUUUAUAGCCUUGAUCUCUGCAAUCGAGAGACUGAGGUCUGCAGCGUAGAUCUUCGGGUUAGAUACAUUUGUGCUAAGCUACAGCUUUUCAUAGACAACUGUUGACUAUGUUUAGUCUGUAACUUACCCGUUAUGCUAUUUACUACGCUUAGGAUGUUG
Molecule: unclassified non-coding RNA, 1346 nt
Filed under: uncultured Neocallimastigales
Lineage: Eukaryota; Fungi; Neocallimastigomycota; Neocallimastigomycetes; Neocallimastigales
Description: partial contains internal transcribed spacer 1, 5.8S ribosomal RNA, internal transcribed spacer 2, and large subunit ribosomal RNA
Rfam family: Eukaryotic large subunit ribosomal RNA (bases 600-1346)
Source: RNAcentral